Molecule: ribosomal RNA, 139 nt
Filed under: uncultured Streptomyces sp.
Lineage: Bacteria; Bacillati; Actinomycetota; Actinomycetes; Kitasatosporales; Streptomycetaceae
Description: partial 16S ribosomal RNA
Rfam family: Bacterial small subunit ribosomal RNA
Source: RNAcentral
UGGGGAAUAUUGCACAAUGGGCGAAAGCCUGAUGCAGCGACGCCGCGUGAGGGAUGACGGCUUCGGGUUGUAAACCUCUUUCAGCAGGGAAGAAGCGAAAGUGACGGUACCUGCAGAAGAAGCGCCGGCUAACUACGUG